UACGUAGGGUGCAAGCGUUGUCCGGAAUUAUUGGGCGUAAAGAGCUCGUAGGCGGUUUGUCGCGUCUGCUGUGAGAACUCGGGGCUUAACCCCGGGCCUGCAGUGGGUACGGGCAGACUAGAGUGCGGUAGGGGAGACUGGAAUUCCUGGUGUAGCGGUGAAAUGCGCAGAUAUCAGGAGGAACACCGGUGGCGAAGGCGGGUCUCUGGGCCGUAACUGACGCUGAGGAGCGAAAGCAUGGGGAGCGAACAGG
Molecule: ribosomal RNA, 253 nt
Filed under: uncultured bacterium
Lineage: Bacteria
Description: partial 16S ribosomal RNA
Rfam family: Bacterial small subunit ribosomal RNA
Source: RNAcentral